AAACCAUGAUGGGGACACAUUCUAAGUAGAGAGUUGAUUUGCCAUGCAUCAUACAAACUUUCUCCAUUGUAUUGUGUAAACCUUGUUAUCUUGUCCCUAUAUUC
This is a non-coding RNA of Triticum aestivum (bread wheat), 104 nucleotides long. NCBI's taxonomy places the organism in Eukaryota, Viridiplantae, Streptophyta, Magnoliopsida, Poales, Poaceae. The record is from Rfam.